RNAcentral lists this long non-coding RNA (305 nucleotides) under Homo sapiens (human). RNAcentral's name for it is "HSALNT0310662". The record is from RNAcentral. Lineage: Eukaryota; Metazoa; Chordata; Mammalia; Primates; Hominidae.
GCAAAAUAAAAGCUAAGCAAGAGAGCCUUUCAAAACACAUGAAAAUAGCACACACAUACAAAAAAAAAAAGAAUAAAGAGAUGUACAAGUGACACCUCCUCAACCUUCUCACUUGGUAUACAUAUGCACAGUAAAUUAUUUUGGGCUCAGCCAAGCAUGGGAGCAAUUCAAAUAGAUCCAUAUGAUAUUCUCUGAUUAGAAACUCUUGUGGAGUAAGUUGGUGAGUGUAUCUUUGCCUAAAACAGUCAUGUCAAAAUAUAGCUUCCUAUAGCAUAUUUAUUUAGUAUCAUUUUGGUGAAAAAGUG